AGCCCCACGUGGGGCUCGAACUCACGGACCGCGAGAUCGUGACCUGGCUGAAGUCAGACGCUUAACCGACUGCGCCACCCAGGCGCCCCUAUACUCAUUUUUAAAAAUCAGUAAUCAGCUGAAUGAGGUCUGCUGUUCCUUUUUGCGAAGAUGAUGAAACAUAACCCAGAAUCUGAAUGAAAAAUUUUAUUCGGACCUAUUUCGGGAAAAGCUUUAAUUUACGUGAGGAAAUUUGCCUUUUUCUUAUGGAUAAUGCGGAUAAUUUAUUGAUUGCCUUCCAUUUCUGAGAAAAAUCUCAAAUUAGGCUUACUUUUAAUCGAAUGUAGGACUAAUCGCCUGCCAUGUCACUCUUGAUCCAGAUUUUCUAGAUUCUGACCUUAGUGUUUUUCCUUGUGUUCGUAUAAAGUUCCUCACAUCUCUUCUGUAUAUAAGGCUAAACAGUAAUACUUUUUUUUUAAAGUUAAAGAAUUGCUUCAUUUCAAUAUGUGAAGAUAAGCCCCAAUGAGAACUUUUUGGGGUGAGGUCCCAGUGAAAUGGAUGCUUCUGCGAUUGGAAUUCCUGAGGAGUGGCAGGUCUUGAGCUUACAUCUGGGUUUAGAUCUGCUGGUCUACCUGGAAGUUUGGAGUUUGAGUGAAAGCUACCAUCUCAUCCUCAUGUUUCCAUAACUCUUUUAGCAAGAGAAUUCAGAAACUAAGUUACAGAAUUAAAAGGAACCUAAGGGGUGUGAUAUGGUCCAGAACCCUGAUGUCAAGUAAACGGAUGAUUAUUCUUCCAGAUAUGCUCUUCCCAUAAAUUGUUGAAGAAUGAAAAUUGCCAUUUCAGUAUUUUAACAAUCUGUGGGUCAUUAAAUUAUUCUUUAUUUUUACUACAUUUAGUUUCUUUGUUGAAAUAGAGAACAGUUGUGGUAGGCAUCUCUUUAAACAUCCUUGAUCUAUUUGAGUACUAGCUCUUACUCUAGUUUCUUGGUAAUAUAACCUUUAGUUUUCUCUCUCAAAAUCUAUUUUCCAUUCUUACAAAUGCUUUUGCGAUCCAUCUUUGUACUUUGUUGAGUUUAUCUUUAUUUCUCUAAGAAUUGUAAGGUGUAGUAGAAGGAUUAAUUUAUUAUUGUCAUCAUUUUUACUUGCCUGUCAUCCCUUCGAGGGCAGUACAUUUUAGCCCCUUGUCUGGCAUGUAGAAUAUAUUCAAUAAAUGUUUACUGAAUGAA
This is a long non-coding RNA of Felis catus (domestic cat), 1204 nucleotides long. RefSeq lists it as uncharacterized. The transcript is spliced from 2 exons. NCBI's taxonomy places the organism in Eukaryota, Metazoa, Chordata, Mammalia, Carnivora, Felidae. The record is from RefSeq and is a predicted model, not a curated record.